RNAcentral lists this ribosomal RNA (524 nucleotides) under uncultured Alcaligenaceae bacterium. Its description in RNAcentral is "bacterial SSU rRNA". It matches the Rfam family "Bacterial small subunit ribosomal RNA", at positions 338 to 855 of the family's 1533-position model. The record is from RNAcentral. Lineage: Bacteria; Pseudomonadati; Pseudomonadota; Betaproteobacteria; Burkholderiales; Alcaligenaceae.
CCUACGGGAGGCAGCAGUGGGGAAUUUUGGACAAUGGGGGAAACCCUGAUCUAGCCAUCCCGCGUGUGCGAUGAAGGUCUUCGGGUUGUAAAGCACUUUUGGCAGGAAAGAAACGUCUCGGGCUAAUACCCCGUGAAACUGACGGUACCUGCAGAAUAAGCACCGGCUAACUACGUGCCAGCAGCCGCGGUAAUACGUAGGGUGCAAGCGUUAAUCGGAAUUACUGGGCGUAAAGCGUGCGCAGGCGGUUCGGAAAGAAAGAUGUGAAAUCCCAGAGCUUAACUUUGGAACUGCAUUUUUAACUGCCGGGCUAGAGUGUGUCAGAGGGAGGUGGAAUUCCGCGUGUAGCAGUGAAAUGCGUAGAUAUGCGGAGGAACACCGAUGGCGAAGGCAGCCUCCUGGGAUAACACUGACGCUCAUGCACGAAAGCGUGGGGAGCAAACAGGAUUAGAUACCCUGGUAGUCCACGCCCUAAACGAUGUCAACUAGCUGUUGGGGCCUUCGGGCCUUGGUAGCGCAGCUAA